UUUCAAAACACUGGAUGAAAUGGAUGUGGAAACUGUGAACUGUGCUGUUCAAUUUGUUUUGUUGAGAUAGAGAAGGUGAAUCAUCGUCAGUCUGCUUGCAGGAGAAGAAUAUUCUGUCGGCAACUUUGCCCGCAACGCGCGAAGUCUUGAAGCAACCCCAUCAUCAGCAGCUGUGUCUGAUCGCCGCUUCAUGUUGAAUAUACUUGUGUACAGUAUAUAGUAAUGUUUGAAUAAAUGUUAUAAUAAA
Long non-coding RNA from Sander lucioperca (pikeperch), 247 nucleotides. RefSeq lists it as uncharacterized. Lineage: Eukaryota; Metazoa; Chordata; Actinopteri; Perciformes; Percidae. The transcript is spliced from 2 exons. The record is from RefSeq and is a predicted model, not a curated record.